AAUGAAAGCUUGGACAGAGUACGGAAUGUCCCUCAGCAUGGAAACAAGCAGACCAGUGGCCCAAGAAGAAUUCAUCCUUCUCCUUUCUUUGCUGUCAGCAGCUUCAUUUUGACACCUCCAGGACACUUGCAUAUGGAAUUGG
Eubalaena glacialis (North Atlantic right whale) is the source of this 142-nucleotide long non-coding RNA. RefSeq lists it as uncharacterized. Lineage: Eukaryota; Metazoa; Chordata; Mammalia; Artiodactyla; Balaenidae. The record is from RefSeq and is a predicted model, not a curated record. The transcript is spliced from 3 exons.